Molecule: ribosomal RNA, 408 nt
Filed under: uncultured bacterium
Lineage: Bacteria
Description: partial 16S ribosomal RNA
Rfam family: Bacterial small subunit ribosomal RNA
Source: RNAcentral
GACGAACGCUGGCGGCGUGCUUAACACAUGCAAGUCGAACGAAGUGGCGAACGGGUGAGUAACGCGUAAUCAACCUGCCCUUCAGAGGGGGACAACAGUUGGAAACGACUGCUAAUACCGCAUACUGAAGGAGGGGAUUGCGUCUGAUUAGCUAGUUGGGGGGGUAACGGCCUACCAAGGCGAUGAUCAGUAGGCGGUCGGGAAGGAUGAACGGCAAAAUUGGGACUGAGAAACGGCCCAAAAUCCUACUGGAGGCAGCAGUGGGUAAUCUUCCGAAAUGGAGGAAAGUCUGACGGAGCACCGCCGCGUGAGUGAUGACGGCCUUCGGGUUGUAAAGCUCUGUUAAUCGGGACGCGGUACCGGAAUAGAAAGCCACGGCUAACUACGUGCCAGCAGCCGCGGUAAUAC